Molecule: ribosomal RNA, 253 nt
Filed under: uncultured bacterium
Lineage: Bacteria
Description: partial 16S ribosomal RNA
Rfam family: Bacterial small subunit ribosomal RNA
Source: RNAcentral
UACGGAGGGUGCAAGCAUUGAUCGGAAUUACUGGGCGUAAAGGGCACGUAGGCGGUUUGCACAGUCAGAUGUGAAAUUCCUGGGCUCAACCUGGGGGCUGCAUUUGAUACGUGUAGACUUGAGUGGGGAAGAGGGUCGUGGAAUUCCCAGUGUAGAGGUGAAAUUCGUAGAUAUUGGGAAGAACACCGGUGGCGAAGGCGGCGACCUGGUCCUUGACUGACGCUGAGGCGCGAAAGCGUGGGGAGCAAACAGG